RNAcentral lists this long non-coding RNA (359 nucleotides) under Sarcophilus harrisii (Tasmanian devil). RNAcentral's name for it is "lncRNA (ENSSHAG00000029121.1)". Lineage: Eukaryota; Metazoa; Chordata; Mammalia; Dasyuromorphia; Dasyuridae. The record is from RNAcentral.
CGGCUUUAGUUCUCUGUUUCUGUCUCAGUCUCCUGUAGGUUCUAGCCUUAGCUAUUUUCUUUCCUCUUUCCUUUUAAGGACUUUGGUUUGAUUAUUUGCUAUGGCCCAAAUAGGCCUCUGUUGUUCUUAAGUCUCUUUCCCAGUCCUCUGUGUCUUGGUGUUUGGACAUUAGGUUGCCUUUGUCCCUGUCUUUCGCUUCCAGUAUUCUGAGAAGUUACACAGCAGGGCCCUUUCUCCAUGGCAGGAAACGGAAUCCUGGGCUGAAGAUUCCAAAAGAAGCAUUUGAACAGCCUCAGACCAGUUCAGCGUAAGUUUUCAAAAUUUUGUUGCUUAUGGAUCAUAAACUUCUAGAGACCACU